AUGAAGCUGGAGAAGAGACAGAGAGCCAACCAGGAGUGACUUGUCCCCGCCCCACCAGUCAGCCCCUCACUGCUGCCCCCUAGCUGUCCUCUCUGCCAGUGCCUUCUGUUAUCACACAGUGUCAAUGGAUCUUCGUCAAACGUGGUGCUUUCUGGUGAACUCUGGUUACAAAGUUGACGUGGUCUCUUGCAGUUUGGAAAAAACAAAAACAACAAAAAAAACAUUGGUGAGAUCUAGCCAGGUCAAACAGAACUCUUUCCAGCUCCUGGAGAAGAUCAGUCCAAUCCAGCAGGUUUACUACAGGUCAAAGUCCUACCAGCAACUUCUACUUUACAAUAUACCGCUCACUGUUAGUCCUUUUCUGGCUGAACCGUGAACUCUCCACCUGGCAUUCCAGGCCCAAACUGGAUGGCCAUGACACCUCUGGGACAGAAGGGGGCGCUAGAUCUGUGAUCUGACGAUAGAAGUUCAAAACUGAGACUCUUCAACUCUGUUUAUCCUCCCUUUGGUAAAAGCCUAAAAGGAAACAAAUAUGGAAUUCAGUCAACAACUGAAAGGAAAAGCACACAGAGAACCAAUCAGCAGCAUAUGACCUCAUUUAAUGAACCACUGAAGUGACUGCUACUAACCACAUCCUCCAUCGUGACCCUCAGCAUUAACUGUGAACUCCAAUAUACCUUCAAAGGAUCGUACCCAGUAGAGUUCAUCCAUAACCUUUGUGUUUGAGCCCAAGCUCCUCCGCGUUUGUGUGUUUGUGUUUGUGUUUGUGUUUUACUGUGCAUGCUUCCAUCGUUGGCAUAUGUUUGCUUCUCUUUGUCCUUUUGUUUUUGUAUUAUUUAUAAAAAAAAAUCAGUGUUAUUUAUAUAUGUACAAUUUAUGGUUGAAUUAAAGAAAGGUUUUUGCAUGGGCAGCAGUUGAUCAGUAUGUCUUUAGUCUCGACUCCAUAGAUAGGAACUUGAGGUAAAUCUACCAUCUCUAUUGGGUUGUAUUGUCUGAAAGAAAGUUUACUCAAAUACAUUGUAAUACAGGUGUGAAGUGUUUGUCCACACCUGCAAACGCUCAUGCACUAAUUACUAUUGUGCAUUUUAAAGUUAUUCUGGCUUAUAUCCUCUCUUAGUUCUACACGCCAGUUUGCUCUUUAUCUAAUGACCUUAAUUGGCCUGGGAAAGAAACAACCAAUUAGUGUUCCAUUGGUAUGGCGGUGUAGCCUAUCAUUUUGCCAUAUCCAUAUUUUGACCUGCAGGGGGAGACUGUGCAUAAAAAAAGAAUGAAUGUUCCCAAGCUGGUGAGAGGGUAAAGUUUCCCCCUCCUCUGUCUGUCUGUACUCCUCCACGCUGGAUCUUGGGUGUUCUUUCUUUUAAAAAGUGAAAAUGAUCAUGAGUCAGAGAGAUCCAUACUUCACCAUCACCCAGAGAUGCAAUGUCUCCUUGUUUCCUCAGUGAGUUGGUUAAUAGGGGGUUAUAAUGAGAGGUGUGUUAGAGAUAAGUUACCUAUUUGAUAGCAUAUCUAAGCUGUAAUCUUAAAAGCUU
Molecule: long non-coding RNA, 1529 nt
Organism: Clupea harengus (Atlantic herring)
Lineage: Eukaryota; Metazoa; Chordata; Actinopteri; Clupeiformes; Clupeidae
Source: Ensembl